CUCCCAAACUUUAUUUGCAGAAGCAAUUUCAAAGAAGUCGCUACCCUACGUCUAAUCCAAUGAUAUUGUUAAUCCUUUUUGACUUUUAGCCACCACACAGAAACCUUCAUCAAAGAUCAAUUGUCAAUACACUAUCCGCACAGAGACAAAACCCCCAAAUUCUCGUAAUUAGGGUUCCUAAUCUCCAUGGAAAUCCACUCGUAAGUGGCGGACCAGAAAUUAUUUUCUAGGGGCGUGCACGAGGGGUUUAACCAAGGGAUGAUGAUUUUUCGCUCAAGGCUAUUGAUUUUGGACUCUCAGUUUUCUUCAAAGUUCAAGCCAGGUAAAUAAUAAUUCUGAUUAUAAUUAUUAUCUUUCGUCAGUUAAUGUUUCAGGUCAAAUCUUCACGGAUGUGGUGGGAAGCCCGUAUUGUGUUGCUCCGGAGGUUCUUUUGAAGCAUUAUGGUCCAGAAGCGGAUGUGUGGACCGCAUGAGUGAUACUUUACAUAUUACUCAGUGGUGUGCCCCCGUUUUGGGCUGAAACAUAACAGGGGAUAUUUGAUGCGGUUUUAAAGGGAUACACAGUCUUUGAGUCGGACUCGUGGCCUCUUAUAUCUGACAGUGCAAAGGAUCUUAUUAGGAAGAUGUUAUGCUCUCGACCUUCAGACCGCCUAACUGCUCAUGAAAUUCUAUGUCAUCCUUGGAUUUGUGAAAACGGUGUUGCUCCUGAUAGAGCACUGGAUCCAGCCGUUCUUUCUGGUUUGAAGCAGUUCUCUGUAAUGAACAAGUUAAAGAAAAUGGCUUUGCGGGUUAUCGAAAGCCUGUCUGAAGAGGAGAUUGUUGGUUUGAGAGAGAUGUUCAGAGAAAAAGAUAAGGUGGAUAAAGAUACUAUGCUCGAUAGGAUAUCACAAAUUGAAGCUAUGUUAACAAGUACAAUUCGAAGAUAGGCUACAAACACUUGGUUUUAAAAGUUUCGAUGUUUAUCAUAUUAGGAUAAUUUUAGUUAUCUGAUGUUUUAGCUGGUAUUUCUAUUAGAAUGUUUUAUAUGCUUUUGAUACAGAGAUGUUUUAUAUAAUUUGGGGUUUUGUGAUCUUA
RNA transcript from Helianthus annuus (common sunflower), 1073 nucleotides. It is a transcript of the gene named calcium-dependent protein kinase 4-like, with no coding region annotated. NCBI's taxonomy places the organism in Eukaryota, Viridiplantae, Streptophyta, Magnoliopsida, Asterales, Asteraceae. The transcript has 6 exons. The record is from RefSeq and is a predicted model, not a curated record.